CGGCGGACGGGUGAGUAACGCGUGGGUAACCUGCCUCAUACAGGGGGAUAACAGUUGGAAACGGCUGCUAAUACCGCAUAAGCGCACAGUACCGCAUGGUACGGUGUGAAAAACUCCGGUGGUAUGAGAUGGACCCGCGUCUGAUUAAGUAGUUGGUGGGGUAACGGCCUACCAAGCCGACGAUCAGUAGCCGACCUGAGAGGGUGACCGGCCACAUUGGGACUGAGACACGGCCCAA
RNAcentral lists this ribosomal RNA (238 nucleotides) under uncultured bacterium. RNAcentral describes it as "partial 16S ribosomal RNA". It matches the Rfam family "Bacterial small subunit ribosomal RNA", at positions 96 to 334 of the family's 1533-position model. The record is from RNAcentral.